Non-coding RNA from Zootoca vivipara (common lizard), 7272 nucleotides. Lineage: Eukaryota; Metazoa; Chordata; Lepidosauria; Squamata; Lacertidae. The record is from RefSeq and is a predicted model, not a curated record.
CUGGUCCUGAUGCUCACCCAGAGUGUUGCCACAAAUAAGCACAAGGUUGGUGUAACAUAUUAAGUUUGGCUUCACUUCUGUGGAACAGCUCAUGUGCUUAGGUCCAUGAUUUGUAUUUUGAUCCUUGUGCCGACUGUGUGUUAUUGACUCUGAGAACAUCAUUCCCUUGUCACAAAGCCCUUUUGUUGUGUAUUUUGAUGGCUGUUGCAGGUAAUGACAAACGAGUGCAGUGGCUCUGCGGGACUGAUGGCGAGGUCUGGGUUUGGAUUAUGGGAGAAGCUCCUGGAGACAAGCCUUAUGAGCAGCUUACAGAGGAACUUAUUGCAGAAAGAGCCAGGCAGCAAGCCCAGAAGGAAGCAGAAGAAUUAUGGAAGCAAAAAGAAGCAGAAAUCACAAAGAAGUUUCGAGAUGCUAUGGCGAAGGAGAAAGCUCGAAUAGUGGCAGAGAAGUGGAAGAUAGAGACAGAAGAUCGCAAAGCAGCCAAAAUGAUGGAGGAGAAAAUCCAGGAGGAAUUAAAGAAAAGAGAGGAAGAAGAGAGGCAAAGAGGUGAAGAGCAGAUACGGCAACAGGAGGAACGCAGAGCUCAAGAGCUGUACCUGAGCCUCAAGCAAGCCCAGCAGUAUAGCGCACAGAAUGAAAAGGAAGACCACGAAUGGGAAGAACAACUACGUCGCUCAAAAGCUGCGGAUGAGGAAAGGAGCCAUAAAGCACGCCGGGCCCGGGAUGAGUAUCGGCGGCAAUCCUUGCGGGCAAUCCAGAAAGGAAAAGUGGCUGGUCUCAGUAACCUGUUCCAGGCAGCUGGUCUGAAUAUCGAGCCAGAAGCAAAGCUGAAUGACGCCUGUCCCAUUCCAGCAUUCACCAUGACGGUAUCAACCAGUAAAGCCUGGGAACGGCCUCUGAGGCCUUUCUCCAGAGAAGUUAUUAUUCAGUGGUUCAAAGAAGAGCAGCUUCCACGCCGUGCUGGAUUCGAGAGGAACGCUAAUACUGUGGCGCCUUGGUUUCAUGGCAUUAUUAGUCGCCAGGAGGCAGAAGAGCUGCUGAUGAACAAGUCUGAGGGAGCAUUCCUAGUGCGGGUUAGUGAGAAAAUCUGGGGAUAUGCCCUGUCCUAUCGCCAUCAGAGUGGAUUCAAACAUUUUCUGGUGGAUGCUUCCGGAGACUUCUACAGCUUCUUAGGGGUGGAUCCCAACCGACAUGCCACACUUACAGACCUUAUCGAUUUCCACAAGGUAUUUACUUGCUACAUGCACAGAAUAUGAAAAACUGAACUCGAUUGAUGAAUAUUUCAAAAGGAAGAAGCAGUGUGAGCCUGCAUCUUAUACAGAAUUAGUCUUUACAGACAGGGCUGGCUCCAGGUUUGGGGAGUGAAGGCCAGCCCUGGGCAUGGUGACUGUGGUGGAGGAUUAUCUGAAGUACCAGAUGGCUGAGUCUAGCUACCAUUUUCAUUUCCCAUAAUGCCUCAAUGGUGUUGUGUCAAGGGCAUUGUGGGAAAUCAGUACAGCAGUUGGAUUCAACUGUCCAGAGCUGGUCCAAGUGCUGACACCCCCCCCCCCCGAAAACACACACACAUACACACACACUUUUGACUGCAGGUUCUACAUACUAGGGAGAAAUGCAUAUAAAUGCCUAUGAAAGGGAAAAUAAAAUGCAAAAACAACCAUUCUAUUAAGGGAAAUUGUUUGUAAAAAUGUGUAUAUUUUGGGUAAAUAUGCACUAAACUGUUGACAAAUGUAGCACAGCACAACCCAUGCAGCUCCUAUCACUUGGGAGCAUGUGAAAUGGGGGAACAAGCUUAAUACUUUCACAGUCUCCAUAUACAUACUAAAUCAGACUAUUGGCUCAUUCUCAGCUGCUUCCCAGUUCCUCUCCUCAAAGUUUUGCUCAGCCCUGUUACCUGUGUGCCUUUUAACUGGAGCUGUGGGGGCCUGAGUCAGAGGCUUUGUGAAUGCAAAGCACAUAGUCAGGCAGUGUAGAUAGAGCUAUUUUUCAUUCUGAUGUAAUGCUUCUGGGAGAGAGAAGAUGGGGAACUGGUAGUAUACAUGAUAUAGCAAGGGACCUGUGUAUUUUGUGCAAAAAUGGGGAGGGGAAGAGCCCAUCCUUAUCCAAGUUCUGUGCCAAGGCAAUCCGAGUCCCAUAUCAGGAAAAGCUCAGCUCAUCAAAAAAGAUGACGCAAGUUUAUUGACUUUGUGUGAUUUCUUUAUUUCCCCAUAAUUUAUUAUUUGGCAUUCUUUCCCUCUUCAUUAGCAAGCAGGGGCAAUAACCUUUACCCUACACCCAAAGGUUGGUAGUCUCAGUUAGACACCCUCCUUUGAUUUCUGAGAACCCAACUAGAUAUGUGUUUGUUUGUUUGUUUUUUAAAAGACUAACCAACCAAUCAAGGGUUGGGGAGGCGUGUCUCCCCAUUCAGAACCAGUCUUCCCUAUGUGCCAUGUAUUUGAAAUGGGAGGAAAGCUGACACAGGCACCGUUGGAAACUUUGCUUCCAUUGCAAAUAGCAGGCUUCUGGUUUGUGGUUCCAGUUUGUGCCACUGCAGAUGUAAACGGUUAAAGCUCUCUUUCCCCUACACCUGUUUUUGCGGUGGAAGGGAUGGGUCACUUGCACUAGCAAUUGGUUUUAUUUGUUUGUUUGUUUUAAAUUGCAAUGACAUCACUGUCAGCUUGGCCCUAAAAUUUCAGCUGGUGUUGCCCACAUACUGACAAGCUUAUGUUUGCAGCCACAAAAGCUAGAACAAAGAUGGGAAGGCUGGGACCCUCCUGGUACUGUCAGCUCCAUUCAGCCUGGGCAUUGCUCGGGGAUGAUGGGAGUUGCAGUCCAACAACAUCUGAAGGGUCAUGGGUCUAGAAUCUUGCACUAAAAAGACCAUAAAAUAAGAUAAAAUAAAAUAAAAUACAGCUGAGAUAGUCAGGAAGCUGAUUAUGGACCUAGUCUCACUUUCUGCAAGCUUACAGAUAGGGAUGCGCAAAUCUACCAAUUUUGGUUUAUCUAAGUUUCUCAUUUUUCCAAUAAUUUUUCCAAUCUGCAAUUUUUUUUUAAGUUCUCAUGAAAAUUGACCAGUGUGAAUUUCUCCAAAUGUACACAUCUUUGUAUGCAAUCUUGCCUAAUUCAUAUUUUUGCAAAGCAGUUUACCUUAAAUUAAUGCAUUUUGGUAUGCCAUUUUCACUAAUGUAUGCAUUUCUAUGCACAAUUUACCGUAGUAUACAAUUUUUUUUUACUCCAUCUUGGCUGACAAGCUGAAUUGCAAAAUUCAGAGAAGUGUGAAUUUCAAAAGAGAACAGUUGUUCAAGUUUGAGUAUUGCUUCGAAAAGUGCAUAUUAGGUGGGCUAACCCUUAAAAAGGAAAUCAGCCCUGAGUGCUCCCUGGAAGGACAGAUCGUGAAGCUGAGGCUCCAAUACUUUGGCCACCUCAUGAGAAGAGAAGAAUCCUUGGAAAAGACCCUGAUGUUGGGAAAGAUUGAGGGCACUAGGAGAAGGGGAAGACAGAGGACAAGAUGGUUGGACAGUGUUCUCGAAGCUACGAACAUGAGUUUGACCAAACUGCGGGAGGCAGUGCAAGACAGGAGUGCCUGGCAUGCUAUGGUCCAUGGGGUCACGAAGAGUCGGACACGACUAAACAACAACAACAAACCCUUAAAAAGGGAACUGAAUUGCCUGUCUCGCCCACUGCUACUUGCAGAAACAUAGCAUGCACACAACCUAGAGCAUAGUCACAGAACCAGUGACAAAAAGUCCUACAAACGUCACAUCCAGGGACUGCGGCAACUUCAGUCUCUACCUUCUUUCCCUAGAGUCAGGCUUGCACAAAAACUUUUGUCUUUCUUUUCCUCCCAGCUUGCUCAUCAUAGGCAAUAAGAGCACAAGAAAAGCCCAUCCAUCUAGGGAGGAAGCACAGGGACACCUGUCAAAAGCAAAACGUCCAUUAGCCUCUGACAUUCAAAAUAAAAUAGAUUGGGAUGUCCCCCGAUGAGAAAAAUCAAUGGCUGCAGCUAUGACAAGCUUGUUAGAGGACUUGCUUGGCCCCUGAAGUGAGCAGGCAAGUCUCGCUUAAUUGUCUGUGGUCAAAUGGGAAAGAGAUUUAACAGCGCCGUCUUGGGAUGUUGCCCCUUCCUUAUCUCCCCAGCCACUAACUCCGGUGCCUUUUUCAUCUGAGUGCACUCAGUGCAAAGAUAAAUACAGGAAAAAAAGUCAGAGCCAGCUGUGGUAAUGGCAGAAAAAUGCAAUGGUAUACAGGCACCAGCCAGUCUACCUGCUAUUAUUGAAUCUCAUAUAUAUAUACAGAGAGAGAGAGAGAGAGAGAGAGAGAGAGAGAGAGAGAGAGAGAGAGAGAGAGAGAGAGUUUAUAAAGUCCCAAAAGUCUAGUUCAUGUACAUUUAAACACAAUGCAGAAAAUGCUACAGGUAGCCCUCCUGAACCAAUAAUGUGCAGGUUUGUAGAUACAUUAGUUUUGUAUGUAGAUAUCCUUCAGGUGUGUGCUAAAAGCACUUUGCAGAAGCAGGGUUGUGGUUAGGGUCAUCAUUGGCUGUGUACACACACUUAAAGCAGAUUCGCCCACCACCUAGAACAGGCAUCCCCAAACUGCGGCCCUCCAGAUGUUUUGGCCUACAACUCCCAUGAUCCCUAGCUAAGAGGACCAGUGGUCAGGGAUGAUGGGAAUUGUAGUCCAAAACAUCUGGAGGGCCGGAGUUUGGGAAUGCCUGACCUAGAAUGUUAGGAGUGCUGGGAACUGUAGCACUACGAGAGGUAUACUACAUUUCCCCAGAUUCUUUGGAGGAAAGAUGUUCUUGAAAUGUAUAGUGUGUAUGCAGCCAUUGCCGGAACCGAGAGACUCCACUACUUUGCCUGCCUCAGAUCUACAGUCCAGAGUUCCGUGGGGAGAGGGAAUGGCUCUUAAACCAGUUUGUAAGUGGUGCAAAUGCAUGCCCCCAGUCCCUUAUGCCUGUUUUAGAUAUGUAAAGAGCAAAUGAUUGUGUUUCCGGCAACCCACCACCACCACAAGACUGGGGUAGGGGAAGGAAUGUUACCCUUUAGUCUUCCUCAGCACCUGGAAGAGCACUUUAUUUCCUGAUGUCAUUGCUGAGUGCCACAGCAUGAAGAUCAGGAGAUUAAUCUGUGGGGACUAGUUACAGGUAGGUAGCCGUGUUGGUCUGAGUCGAAGCAAAAUAAAAAAAUUCCUUCAGUAGCACCUUAAAGACCAACUAAGUUUAUAUUUUGGUAUGAGCUUUCGUGUGCAUGCAGGGUGUAUCUGAAGAAGUGUGCAUGCACACGAAAGCUCAUACCAAAAUAUAAACUUAGUUGGUCUUUAAGGUGCUACUGUGGGGACUAGCAAGACAUUUUCUGUGGCUUGUCCUUCCAGAGGUGGCCUGUGGACUAGCCAGGCCUGUUGCAGAGACAUAUCUUCACUAUGGAGCCAAGCAAGGGAUCCAUAUUACACCAGGCAGCUGUGAUCAUUGUGCCAGGGUCAAGAGUGGCUCUUCCAGGCCCAUACAAUUACAUACACAAUGUAUUUGUAUAACUUCACUCCAGUUAUCCAGAAACUACGCUAGUGAAGAAGGAACUCUUUUACAAGACCCUUGGCAUCCUAACAUAGGAUUGCCUCUUUCUCCAUGAAAGUCAAUUUUGCUACUGAUUUCAAUAGGCUGCACCAUUUUGUCUUUGGUUUUCCAGGGCCAGAUUUAGGUUUGAUGAGGCCCUAAGCUACUGAAGGUAAUGGGGCCCUUUAUAUGUCCAGCUGUCCUUUGUUGACAAUUUGUCGGUGUUUUUUUGAGUUGAAUAUAUGCUACAUGGUAAUUUGUGGAUGUAAUAGGUAUUUGAAGCCAUUUGCACAUAACAAAAUAUGUAUUUUAUCAAAGUACGUCCAGUUUUUUCCCCUGUAAAUUUUUUGGGGGCCUCCAAGAGAGUGGGGCCCUAAGCUAUAGCUUGUUUAGCUUAUAUGUAAAUCCGGCACUGGUUUUUUUUCCUGAUCUCUGGCUUUGGUUGUGUGUGCAUGCACAAUAUAUAUUUGAACAAAACAAACUAUACCCCCCCCUCCUGUGCGCAUACACACAGACACAAAACCUUUUCAGUUCCCUUGAGGCAUCUUAAUGUACCAGACAUGGCAAAAAGUGAAUCGUCAAUGAGUAAUGGCCUGUAAGCUAGGGCUGUCGAAAAUAAAUUCAUUUUAGAAAUGCUUCAGAUGAUUGCUGUUUAUGUAUAAGCAUCAGAUGAUCCAGAUACAAGUGAUUCAAUUGCAAACAGGCAGCAGGCAAGGGAACAUGCAUUUAAAAGGAGGCAGGGCCGGCAGAGGGUGGGAAGGAAGAAACUCAUAUGCAAGGCAAAGAUGAACAGGAAUGGGUGAAUAAUACAUCCUUCGACUUCUGCAUGAUUAGACAGUGCCACAUCCUAGAUGGAGAAAGAUAAUAGCUGCUAUUUCCAGGCUGAAAAUGAACAAUGGAAGAAAUAAUCACAUCCUCUGGUGGAGAGUUGCUUCUGGAGCCUUGCAGACAAACAAAGAACCCACCUGAUUAUAGCCCUUUAUUUGAAUGACUGUGGAGACUAUAGUCAAUAUUUAUGGAGAACAGAAAUAAUUAGGGAGAUGACUCCACCUUGAGAUAUAAGAUAGCAGCUUAUCACCAGCUAAUGAAUGGCAAAUGUUAACCAAGAAAAUGUCUUAUGUAGGCAAUCCAAUUUUUAAUUCGCAGCCAUUAUUAAUCUUCUUAGCCAUUUAAAACUGGAAGUGCGUGAAAACAAUUCCUCAACAAUUGUCCUUCAGAAUAGGGUUAAACCAUCAAUGGCGAUUAAAAAUACCCCCCCCCCGCAAAAUUUCCCUAAUAGCUGUAGCAAAAGAGAUGGUUGUUAAUGGAACUUAUUUAGCAUAUAGUGAGUUGUGAAAUGGUAGCAUUCAGGAGCUAGAUGUAUGCAACUGAAAAAGAUGCAGAUUAAUGGUAAGGCUAUGUAGAGAUAGGUCUUUUCUAGUCUUAAAACUAGGCAUGAUGUUAGCAGCCCCAUUAAACCUAGUCUUCCCAGGUAUGCAUAAAGUGGGGGGUGGGGUUUGAUUUUUGUUGUUGUUUAGUCGUUUAGUCGUGUCCGACUCUUCGUGACCCCAUGGACCAUAGCACGCCAGGCACUCCUGUCUUGCACUGCCUCCCGUAGUUUGGUCAAACUCAUGUUCGUAGCUUCGAGAACACUGUCCAACCAUCUCGUCCUCUGUCGUCCCCUUCUCCUAGUGCCCUCAAUCUUUCCCAACAUCAGAGUCUUUUCCAAGGAUUCUUCUCUUCUCAUGAGGUGGCCAAAGUAUUGGAGC